RNAcentral lists this ribosomal RNA (414 nucleotides) under Triticum aestivum (bread wheat). RNAcentral's name for it is "partial small subunit ribosomal RNA". The record is from RNAcentral. Lineage: Eukaryota; Viridiplantae; Streptophyta; Magnoliopsida; Poales; Poaceae.
AUGGCCAGCAACCAAUGGAUUGCGAAUAUUGACAGCUCCAAUGGCCUCUCCCUUGAACACAUCCAACAGUUUGCUAACCUUUGGGACAAACUAGCAACAGUGGCCCUCGAUGACGACGUUGAAGACUCAAUUAUUUGGAAGUUCACCAAAGAUGGGAUAUAUUCUGCAUCCUCGGCUUACAAGGCUCAGUUUGAAGGCCUCACCACCUCGGACCUUGUCCAUUUGGUGUGGACGGUGUGGGCGCCCCCUCGGUGCAAGUUUUUUGCUUGGCUCGUUCUUCAAGAUAGGAUUUGGACUUCGGACCGCUUGAGCCGCCGUGGUUGGCCUAAUUGCGGUCUAUGCCCUCUUUGCAAGCAAACCCAAGAAACCGCGGCUCAUCUGCUUUUCCAGUGCCGCUACACCAUGCGCAUUUGA